AUCUUACCAUCCUGAAAGUGUACCACAAAAUAAGUUACUGUUGCCAGAUCCAAAUUAAAUUAUGUCGAAACUAUCUGGACUUGUUAUUUUUGGAGUCUUCUCUUAAAAUGAAUAGCAAGAGGAAUCAUUUGUACCACCGGAACACCAGGAUACAGCCGGAGAGUCUCGGUAAUCGCAGCAUGGAGGUAGUGCAUUUUGUCAAUAGCACCUUGUUUCAAUCUUGCGGUGAACAUUUCCAUGCUGGUAUCUUCUUGCGCCCACUCGACAUAUUCUCUGAUUUCAAAGGCAACCUUAUCCUGCACUACUGGGUUCUUGCAGAGCAUGUAGAAGAACCAUGUAAGGGUAUUCCCUGUAGUGUCUUUACCAGCAAUCAGGAAACUGAGGACUAUAUCACGAAGGAUCCAGUUUAACAUCUGACAUGCAGACUGAGCCAUCUACCACCAUAUUACUGGUUAGGAGGAACAAAAAUGAUGAGCAAAGGAGAACUACCCUGCUGUAUUUAUUGAAGUUUGUCUUGAGGACAUGCUCGAUGACGGCAGGGUCGGCGGUUAAGAUCUCACUGUGCCCUGGAUAGACGAGCCUGAUGGUGGGGUGCAGGAGCGCAUACUUCACAUGCUCAUCGAAGAUCUUGUCAAAGUUGUUGAGCUGCCGGAACACGGUACCGAUGAGCGGCGGCCGGUCAUGGGCUCUCUGGGUGAACUCUCUGAUGCAGUAAACGGCAAAGGAUCCGGCGGUGCCUAGGAUGUAGAGGGUGAUCACCAGCAGGGCUAUGGCAAGAGCUGAGACUACACAUAUGCCCGUGGAUGCAGUGAGGGAGGAGAGCAGGGGAGCCAUGAUCAGAGCUAGCUGCUGCUUGCUGAGAGUUUUGGACAGUGUCGCAGAAAAUGAACAAUCUGUGUUCAAACUAUCUCCAUGAUCAUUUUGACUUCAAGGCUUUCCUAGCAACCAAGAUCUCCAUAUGCAUAUACCAUGUCACACUGCUGUUUCAGGACAACCGAGAUUCAACUUCUGAUUCACCAAAAUUUUGGUACCCGGGUAUAUGUCGCCGACAUGUGGGCGCAGACCCGCAGCUGUGCUGGCCAGUACAGUGCAAUCUAAUGUGCAUUGUAUUUGUGGAGUUUCCGGCUAAUUCUCUGAUUCUAAUGCAGGGCAUUAUUGUAACUUAUGAACCAAUUUGCAUUGUUGUAUCAGCAAACAGAGGAGAGGACGUCAGGGGAGGCAGUGACAUAGCUGAUUCCGUGGGCAUGAGUUCAGCAAAACUGGAUAUUAGUUUCGCUCUCAUUAACUGGAACGGCAACUUGCAUUGAUAGCAACACCUACACGGCAUACAUAGCAGCUGGAUUUAUCUGCUUGUAUUCAUGUGCUAGGCCAGCCUUUUAUGUGAGAGGAAGAGCUCACGUCAUUGGAGGAUGGGAGUUGACAGGGCUGCAUAAGAAUAUUGUGUGGUGCACCAGAUUACGAUGCUAGAAGAUGCGCUGGGCCAGGUGAAAAUAACAUUCUCUCUCCGUUUUCCGCCGUUUGAACCCUAUUUCGUUUCCCCGCCUCCACCUUUCAGUGGAAUUAAACGUGCUUGCUGAUGUCCUGAUGUCUCCAAUUCCCGUAUUAUGUCCAUACAUAUCUCUCCGGUUCUUAGAGAGACUUUUUUUGUGGUUGACACCAAUCUUAUGGACUUACAUAUAUGCCCAGUAAGAGAGUCACUAGUUAGAACUGUGGGUAUAGGAUUUUGUGAAGAUGGAGUGGUAUAUAUAAAGGGCGAGAUACAUGGAGAACAUUACUCACGCAAGUGUGAGAGUUUGGUGGAGUCUUCGUUCCUUCUCCACGAGAUGAAUGCUCAUGGCCUGCUCUAGCCUACACGUGUGGUCCUUUAUAUGGCGGUAACUUGGUAGGCACCCUAUCUUCGGAGGGAUAUUUCAAAUUAACCUAAUUAUUAGUACAGAAAAUGGUUUCACUAUUGUGUUGACUCUCUUGACCUUGUUUACCUCCAAAUAUGGUCACCUUAGUACAUCGGCUUCAACCUUCUAUGUCUUCGACGUGCUUUGUCUACAAUGUUUUAUUGGGGUUCAUAAAGGAAGAUGUGCUCCAACAAUAAGACAUUUAGCUUGUUUGCCACACUGUUAUUUAUAGGUUGGCAUGGAGUUAUCCUCAAAAUGAUUUAUAUGCUACAUGUUUUUUACUUUGGGGAUGGUGACAGCCAGUUGUUAUUGCUUUUAUUGUAAGAUGUUGAUGUGUCCCAAAUCAACUAGGCAGCCUAACAGUCCUACUUUUAUUAUUCCUCCUUGUGACUAAGCAUCAUAAUAAUGCUAAAGUUUACUUUGUUCAAAUUGGUCAGAAUGAGUCGACCAUAUUUUUUCCCAAUCCCACAACACAUAAGAAAGUAAUUUGUGGGCAUCACACCGGAUAAUUUCCAUAACUAUGUGGUAUUAAAAGUUUUAUUACAGAUCUUAGAGAAACUCUAUAUUAGGAUUAUUGAUUGAUAGCCUUUCCCUUUGCUUCUUGUUUUAUAAAAGCUUUCAUAAAGAUAUCCUCGAAAGCAAGUUGAAGAGAGAGAACGGGGAAGGCAAUGUACAAAAGUUCCCAUACAUGGAGGUAAAAAAAGGCAAGUGAGUCAACACAACAUACGGGCCCAAGCCACUUCGGCCAAUAAUAUAUGGGCCCCUCGUCGAACACUCCCCUUAAGAGGGGUGAUAGAUAUCUAUCAUUCCCAUCUUGUCACGUGCUCAAUUUUGACGAUCCCAGCGUCAUGUUUGAUUCUAUCAUGUUGCAUUGGAGUGUGUGCUAUGUUGAUUGGUGAUUGGUUAUCACACCACACAUUCAUACAACUAGUGGUUGGGGCGCCACCUGGUGGCGCCGCUUGAGGCGUGAUGCUGCGGUACCUGAUUUGCUGCUGCCCAUUCAGAUGGAUUGUUUGGUCCAUGUUUUCGAUGGUCACAUCCCUCUUGCGAUGGUCACAGAAGACUGUUCUUCUAACGCCAUAAUAUGUUAUGCAGCAUCAAAUAGAAAGAUCAAGUGUGGAAAUAGUCACCAUCCAUUGGCCUGGUCUUGUAAAU
This is a long non-coding RNA of Triticum aestivum (bread wheat), 3047 nucleotides long. RefSeq lists it as uncharacterized. The transcript has 4 exons. The record is from RefSeq and is a predicted model, not a curated record. Lineage: Eukaryota; Viridiplantae; Streptophyta; Magnoliopsida; Poales; Poaceae.